Molecule: ribosomal RNA, 495 nt
Filed under: uncultured bacterium
Lineage: Bacteria
Description: bacterial SSU rRNA
Rfam family: Bacterial small subunit ribosomal RNA
Source: RNAcentral
AUGACGACUAGCGGCAGGCUUAAUACAUGCAAGUUGAGGGGCAGCAUGAUAUACGCGAGUAUAUUGAUGGCGACCGGCGGACGGGUGAGUAAUAGGUAGGAGACCUACCUCAUACAGGGGGAUAGCAUAGAGAAAUCUGUGGUAAUACCCCAUGAGGUUAUAUGAAUAGAGGCAUAUAAUCAAAGCAUAAGCGAUUAUGCGGUAUGAGAGGGGCCUACUGACCAUUAGCUAGUUGGUGAGGUAAGGGCUCACCAAGGCGAAGAUGGUUAGGGGUUUUGAGAGAGAGACCCCCCCACAUUGGAACUGAGAGACGGUCCAGACUCCUACGGGAGGCAGCAGUAGGGAAUAUUGGGCAAUGGGCGAAAGCCUGACCCAGCCAUGCCGCGUGAAGGAAGACGGCCUUAUGGGUUGUAAACUUCUUUACUACGCGAAUAGAGGUUAGUACAAGAUACUAAUAGAAAAAUAGUGUAGUAAAAAGCACCGGCUAACUCCGUG